GACGAACGCUGGCGGCGUGCCUAAUACAUGCAAGUUGAGCGCUGAAGGUUGGUACUUGUACCAACUGGAUGAGCAGCGCACGGGUGAGUAACGCGUGGGGAAUCUGCCUUUGAGCGGGGGACAACAUUUGGAAACGAAUGCUAAUACCGCAUAAAAACUUUAAACACAAGUUUUAAGUUUGAAAGAUGCAAUUGCAUCACUCAAAGAUGAUCCCGCGUUGUAUUAGCUAGUUGGUGAGGUAAAGGCUCACCAAGGCGAUGAUACAUAGCCGACCUGAGAGGGUGAUCGGCCACAUUGGGACGGAGACACGGCCCAAACUCCUACGGGAGGCAGCAGUAGGGAAUCUUCGGCAAUGGACGAAAGUCUGAACGAGCAACGCCGCGUGAGUGAAGAAGGGUUUCGGAUCGUAAAACUCUGUUGGUAGAGAAGAACGUUGGUGAGAGUGGAAAGCUCAUCAAGUGACGGUAACUACCCAGAAAGGGACGGCUAACUACGUG
This 497-nucleotide ribosomal RNA is filed under the name uncultured bacterium. RNAcentral describes it as "partial 16S ribosomal RNA". It matches the Rfam family "Bacterial small subunit ribosomal RNA", at positions 28 to 507 of the family's 1533-position model. The record is from RNAcentral.